This 72-nucleotide ribosomal RNA is filed under the name Legionella pneumophila. Lineage: Bacteria; Pseudomonadati; Pseudomonadota; Gammaproteobacteria; Legionellales; Legionellaceae. The record is from RNAcentral.
UGCGACUAUAGCGAUUUGGAACCACCUGAAUCCUUCUCGAACUCAGCAGUGAAACGAAUCAUACGCCCGAUG